GAUUGAACGCUGGCGGCAUGCCUUACACAUGCAAGUCGAACGGCAGCACGGGUGCUUGCACCUGGUGGCGAGUGGCGAACGGGUGAGUAAUACAUCGGAACAUGUCCUGUAGUGGGGGAUAGCCCGGCGAAAGCCGGAUUAAUACCGCAUACGAUCUACGGAUGAAAGCGGGGGACCUUCGGGCCUCGCGCUAUAGGGUUGGCCGAUGGCUGAUUAGCUAGUUGGUGGGGUAAAGGCCUACCAAGGCGACGAUCAGUAGCUGGUCUGAGAGGACGACCAGCCACACUGGGACUGAGACACGGCCCAGACUCCUACGGGAGGCAGCAGUGGGGAAUUUUGGACAAUGGGCGAAAGCCUGAUCCAGCAAUGCCGCGUGUGUGAAGAAGGCCUUCGGGUUGUAAAGCACUUUUGUCCGGAAAGAAAUCCUUGGCUCUAAUACAGUCGGGGGAUGACGGUACCGGAAGAAUAAGCACCGGCUAACUACGUGCCAGCAGCCGCGGUAAUACGUAGGGUGCGAGCGUUAAUCGGAAUUACUGGGCGUAAAGCGUGCGCAGGCGGUUUGCUAAGACCGAUGUGAAAUCCCCGGGCUCAACCUGGGAACUGCAUUGGUGACUGGCAGGCUAGAGUAUGGCAGAGGGGGGUAGAAUUCCACGUGUAGCAGUGAAAUGCGUAGAGAUGUGGAGGAAUACCGAUGGCGAAGGCAGCCCCCUGGGCCAAUACUGACGCUCAUGCACGAAAGCGUGGGGGAGCAAACAGGAUUAGAUACCCUGGUAGUCCACGCCCUAAACGAUGUCAACUAGUUGUUGGGGAUUCAUUUCCUUAGUAACGUAGCUAACGCGUGAAGUUGACCGCCUGGGGAGUACGGUCGCAAGAUUAAAACUCAAAGGAAUUGACGGGGACCCGCACAAGCGGUGGAUGAUGUGGAUUAAUUCGAUGCAACGCGAAAAACCUUACCUACCCUUGACAUGGUCGGAAUCCCGCUGAGAGGUGGGAGUGCUCGAAAGAGAACCGGCGCACAGGUGCUGCAUGGCUGUCGUCAGCUCGUGUCGUGAGAUGUUGGGUUAAGUCCCGCAACGAGCGCAACCCUUGUCCUUAGUUGCUACGCAAGAGCACUCUAAGGAGACUGCCGGUGACAAACCGGAGGAAGGUGGGGAUGACGUCAAGUCCUCAUGGCCCUUAUGGGUAGGGCUUCACACGCCAUACAAUGGUCGGAACAGAGGGUUGCCAACCCGCGAGGGGGAGCUAAUCCCAGAAAACCGAUCGUAGUCCGGAUUGCACUCUGCAACUCGAGUGCAUGAAGCUGGAAUCGCUAGUAAUCGCGGAUCAGCAUGCCGCGGUGAAUACGUUCCCGGGUCUUGUACACACCGC
This 1368-nucleotide ribosomal RNA is filed under the name uncultured beta proteobacterium. Its description in RNAcentral is "bacterial SSU rRNA". It matches the Rfam family "Bacterial small subunit ribosomal RNA", at positions 27 to 1393 of the family's 1533-position model. The record is from RNAcentral. Lineage: Bacteria; Pseudomonadati; Pseudomonadota; Betaproteobacteria.